Molecule: ribosomal RNA, 505 nt
Filed under: uncultured bacterium
Lineage: Bacteria
Description: partial 16S ribosomal RNA
Rfam family: Bacterial small subunit ribosomal RNA
Source: RNAcentral
AUUGAACGCUAACGGCGUGCUUAAUACAUGCAAGUCGAACGGCAGCACAGCAGUAGCAAUACUGUGGGUGGCGAGUGGCGGACGGGUGAGUAAUGCAUAGGAAUCUGCCUUGUAAUGGGGGAUAACCCGGGGAAACUCGGGCUAAUACCGCAUAAUCUUUACGAAGCAAAGUGGGGGACCGUAAGGCCUCACGUUAUAAGAUGAGCCUAUGUUGGAUUAGCUAGUUGGUGGGGUAAAGGCCUACCAAGGCGACGAUCCAUAGCUGUCUGAGAGGAUGAUCAGCCACAGUGGGACUGAGACACGGCCCAGACUCCUACGGGAGGCAGCAGUGGGGAAUAUUGGACAAUGGGGGAAACCCUGAUCCAGCAACGCCGUGUGUGUGAAGAAGGCCUUAGGGUUGUAAAGCACUUUCAGUAGGGAAGAAAAGCUUAAGGGUAAUAUCCUUGAGUAUUGACGUUACCUACAGAAGAAGCACUGGCUAACUCUGUGCCAGCCGCCGCCGUAA